RNAcentral lists this ribosomal RNA (669 nucleotides) under Erythrodolius sp. NHM670934. Its description in RNAcentral is "eukaryotic LSU rRNA". It matches the Rfam family "Eukaryotic large subunit ribosomal RNA", at positions 420 to 827 of the family's 3401-position model. The record is from RNAcentral. Lineage: Eukaryota; Metazoa; Arthropoda; Insecta; Hymenoptera; Ichneumonidae.
CCUGAGAAACCCAAAAGAUCGAAUGAGGAGACUCAUCGUCAGCGAUCCGGGUACGCGUGCGGCUCGCGAUGCUGGGAGGCCUCGGCCUCGCGGCACGCGUCCGUAUCGUAAUUAUUGCCUGGUGUCGUCGGCGUGCACUUCUCCUCUAGUAGGACGUCGCGACCCGUUGGGUGUCGGUCUACGGUCCGGGCGGAAGUCCGUCAUGCGUUACGCUUCACGGCGUUGCGUGGCAGGCCCCCGGUUGCCCGACCGACUGCCCGGCGGUACUCGCACGGUAUUGGGCCGCAAAUCUUUUCGAAAUGCGUCUUGGCCCGUCGCAAGCGAGGCUAGUUGCUUCCCGGAUGCACGGACCUAGUGCCGUCACCGGGCCUGGCCAGCUGUUGGUUGACGGUGUCAUGGGACUGGCUCUAUUAUGAUAUACCGGUCGGCGACGCUACUGCUUUGGGUACUUUCAGGACCCGUCUUGAAACACGGACCAAGGAGUCUAACAUGUGCGCGAGUCAUUGGGAUUUAUUAAACCUAAAGGCGCAAUGAAAGUGAAGGUCAGUCUUGCACCGACCGAGGGAGGAUGGGCCGCGUCACGAUGCGGUCCCGCACUCCCGGGGCGUCUCGAUCUCAUUGCGAGAAGAGGCGCACCCAGAGCGUACACGUUGGGACCCGAAAGAUGGA